This 73-nucleotide transfer RNA is filed under the name Brachybacterium muris UCD-AY4. RNAcentral describes it as "tRNA-Lys". It matches the Rfam family "tRNA", at positions 17 to 71 of the family's 71-position model. From Rfam's summary of the family: Transfer RNA (tRNA) molecules are approximately 80 nucleotides in length. The record is from RNAcentral. Lineage: Bacteria; Bacillati; Actinomycetota; Actinomycetes; Micrococcales; Dermabacteraceae.
GGCAUCAGUGUGCUUGCCACAUGGCGGACUUUUAAUCCGCGGGUCGAGGGUUCGAUCCCCUCCGGGCCCACCC